CGGAGGAUCCAAGCGUUAUCCGGAAUCAUUGGGUUUAAAGGGUCCGUAGGCGGUUUAUUAAGUCAGUGGUGAAAUCUGGUCGCUCAACGAUCAAACGGCCAUUGAUACUGAUAGACUUGAAUUAUUGGGAAGUAACUAGAAUAUGUAGUGUAGCGGUGAAAUGCUUAGAUAUUACAUGGAAUACCAAUUGCGAAGGCAGGUUACUACCAGUGGAUUGACGCUGAUGGACGAAAGCGUGGGGAGCGAACAGGAUUAGAUACCCUGGUAGUCCACGCCGUAAACGAUGGAUACUAGCUGUUCGGAGCAAUCUGAGUGGCUAAGCGAAAGUGAUAAGUAUCCCACCUGGGGAGUACGUUCGCAAGAAUG
RNAcentral lists this ribosomal RNA (366 nucleotides) under uncultured organism. Its description in RNAcentral is "bacterial SSU rRNA". It matches the Rfam family "Bacterial small subunit ribosomal RNA", at positions 526 to 896 of the family's 1533-position model. The record is from RNAcentral.